CUGCCGGUGAUAAACCGGAGGAAGGUGGGGAUGACGUCAAGUCAUCAUGGCCCUUACGAGUAGGGCUACACACGUGCUACAAUGGCAGAUACAAAGAGAAGCGACCUCGCGAGAGCAAGCGGAACUCAUAAAGUCUGUCGUAGUCCGGAUUGGAGUCUGCAACUCGACUCCAUGAAGUCGGAAUCGCUAGUAAUCGUAGAUCAGAAUGCUACGGUGAAUACGUUCCCGGGCCUUGUACACACCGCCCGUCACACCAUGGGAGUGGGUUGCAAAAGAAGUAGGUAGCUUAACCUUCGGGAGGGCGCUUACCACUUUGUGAUUCAUGACUGGGGUGAAGUCGUAACAAGGUAACCGUAGGGGAACCUGCGGUUGGAUCACCUCCUUA
This 385-nucleotide ribosomal RNA is filed under the name Proteus mirabilis. Its description in RNAcentral is "bacterial SSU rRNA". It matches the Rfam family "Bacterial small subunit ribosomal RNA", at positions 1149 to 1533 of the family's 1533-position model. The record is from RNAcentral. Lineage: Bacteria; Pseudomonadati; Pseudomonadota; Gammaproteobacteria; Enterobacterales; Morganellaceae.